UACGUAGGGUGCGAGCGUUGUCCGGAAUUACUGGGCGUAAAGGGCGCGUAGGCGGUCAGCACAAGUCAGUUGUGAAAUCUCCGGGCUUAACUCGGAAAGGUCAACUGAUACUGUGCGACUAGAGUGCAGAAGGGGCAACUGGAAUUCUCGGUGUAGCGGUGAAAUGCGUAGAUAUCGAGAGGAACACCUGCGGCGAAGGCGGGUUGCUGGGCUGACACUGACGCUGAUGCGCGAAAGCCAGGGGAGCGAACGGG
Molecule: ribosomal RNA, 254 nt
Filed under: uncultured bacterium
Lineage: Bacteria
Description: partial 16S ribosomal RNA
Rfam family: Bacterial small subunit ribosomal RNA
Source: RNAcentral